UUUGGCUAUUUUCACUAGCUUGAGCUGAGCUGCUGCAGGAACUUGGUUCUAGUGCCACACAGCUGGACUCCCAAGAGAAGGGGGAGAUGGUGGAGCUGAUCAGGUGUAUGGUCCCAAGAGUCAUAAAGAAACACAAACCGGAACAGGUUUUGAUAACUGAACGUUUUGGAUGAGAAUGGAAUUUUGUUUGGG
This is a long non-coding RNA of Dermochelys coriacea (leatherback sea turtle), 192 nucleotides long. RefSeq lists it as uncharacterized. Lineage: Eukaryota; Metazoa; Chordata; Testudines; Dermochelyidae. The transcript is spliced from 3 exons. The record is from RefSeq and is a predicted model, not a curated record.